Molecule: ribosomal RNA, 395 nt
Filed under: uncultured bacterium
Lineage: Bacteria
Description: bacterial SSU rRNA
Rfam family: Bacterial small subunit ribosomal RNA
Source: RNAcentral
GACGAACGCUGGCGGCGUGCUUAACACAUGCAAGUCGAGCGGUAAGGCCCUUUCGGGGGUACGACGAGCGGCGAACGGUGAGUAACACGUGGGUGACCUGCCCUCAGCUCUGGGAUAAGCCUGGGAAACCGGGUCUAAUACUGGAUAUGACUCCAUGACGCAUGUUGUGGGGUGGAAAGCCUUGUGCGGCUGAGGAUGGGCCCGCGGCCUAUCAGCUUGUUGGUGGGGUGAUGGCCUACCAAGGCGACGACGGGUAGCCGGCCUGAGAGGGCGACCGGCCACACUGGGACUGAGACACGGCCCAGACUCCUACGGGAGGCAGCAGUGGGGAAUCUUGCGCAAUGGGCGAAAGCCUGACGCAGCGACGCCGCGUGAGGGAUGACGGCCUGUGUAAC